GCGGGAGUGGUGAAAUGGCAGACACGCAGGUCUUAGGAACCUGUGCUUUACGGCGUGUGGGUUCAAGUCCCACCUUCCGCACCA
This 84-nucleotide transfer RNA is filed under the name Actinomycetes bacterium. Its description in RNAcentral is "tRNA-Leu". It matches the Rfam family "tRNA". Rfam says of the family: Transfer RNA (tRNA) molecules are approximately 80 nucleotides in length. Their secondary structure includes four short double-helical elements and three loops (D, anti-codon, and T loops). Further hydrogen bonds mediate the characteristic L-shaped molecular structure. tRNAs have two regions of fundamental functional importance: the anti-codon, which is responsible for specific mRNA codon recognition, and the 3' end, to which the tRNAs corresponding amino acid is attached (by aminoacyl-tRNA synthetases). tRNAs cope with the degeneracy of the genetic code in two manners: having more than one tRNA (with a specific anti-codon) for a particular amino acid; and 'wobble' base-pairing, i.e. permitting non-standard base-pairing at the 3rd anti-codon position. The record is from RNAcentral. RNAcentral also lists the same sequence under 2 other names. Lineage: Bacteria; Bacillati; Actinomycetota; Actinomycetes.